GACGGAGGAGGCGAGCGUUAUCCGGAGUUACUGGGCGUAAAGGGUAUGUAGGCGGCUGGUCAAGUCUGGGGUUAAAGACCACAGCUUAACUGUGGGGGGGCCUUGGAAACUGACCGGCUGGAGUGGGGCAGGGGUUGCGGGAAUUCCCGGUGUAGCGGUGAAAUGCGUAGAUAUCGGGAAGAACACCGGAGGCGAAAGCGUGCAACUGGGCCCUAACUGACGCUGAGGUACGAAAGCUAGGGGAGCGAAUGGG
Molecule: ribosomal RNA, 253 nt
Filed under: uncultured bacterium
Lineage: Bacteria
Description: partial 16S ribosomal RNA
Rfam family: Bacterial small subunit ribosomal RNA
Source: RNAcentral